CGAGUGACCCUGCGCCGAAAAUGUACCGGGGCUAAAACAUAUUACCGAAGCUGUGGAUGACACAAAAGUGUCAUGGUAGGAGAGCGUUCUAUGUGUGAAGAAGGUGUACCGUGAGGAGCGCUGGAACGCAUAGAAGUGAGAAUGCCGGUAUGAGUAGCGCAAGACAGGUGAGAAUCCUGUCCACCGUAAGACUAAGGUUUCCAGGGGAAGGCUCGUCCGCCCUGGGUUAGUCGGGACCUAAGGAGAGACCGAAAGGUGUAUCCGAUGGACAACAGGUUGAUAUUCCUGUACUAGAGUAUAUAGUGAUGGAGGGACGCAGUAGGCUAACUAAACCAGACGAUUGGAAGUGUCUGGUCAAACAGUGAGGUGUGAUAUGAGUCAAAUGCUUAUAUCUUUAACAUUGAGCUGUGACGAGGAGCGAAGUUUAGUAGCGAAGUUAGUGAUGUCACACUGCCAAGAAAAGCUUCUAGCGAUACAUAUACUCUACCCGUACCGCAAACCGACACAGGUAGUCGAGGCGAGUAGCCUCAGGUGAGCGA
RNAcentral lists this ribosomal RNA (539 nucleotides) under Streptococcus sp. HMSC057F04. RNAcentral's name for it is "bacterial LSU rRNA". It matches the Rfam family "Bacterial large subunit ribosomal RNA", at positions 1150 to 1693 of the family's 2925-position model. Lineage: Bacteria; Bacillati; Bacillota; Bacilli; Lactobacillales; Streptococcaceae. The record is from RNAcentral.